AUUGACUGGUUACGUUGUUCAGCAAAGUCAAAUCUUGUGAUAAAAUCCAUUUUAACACUGGUUUUAACAGAGUUCCCGCAUCCUUGAAACCUAGAAUUGUAUUUAUGCAGUCUGUACAAUUGCUCUGGAGUGGGGUUUAAGAAACCUUGACCUAAGAGUGGAAAUAUUCUAGAUUGUAAAUUCCUAGUUGGAAACAUGUUUUGCCCCGGGAUAAGUGUAAAGUCUCAAGGACUUUUGACUUCUAAUAGGUCAUACACAUCAGAUAAGUGGGCAAUAUGUCUUCUCUUUCUCAAGGCUUGGGUCUUGAGGAGUAGUAGCAUUUAUUUACUGGCAAAUAAACUACACACUACACUGUUAUGUUCACUGCUAUAACUUUACUGCUGACUUCUCUCUGUUUUAACAUUUAAUAGCUAAACUGGAUAUAUAUUGCAGAUGUCCGUAAGUUAAUUAUUUUCUGGUCAAAAAGAACAUUUCAGAUAUCCACUGACAUUCUUCCUAGGAAGAAUUACCUCGCUUUUGCCAUUCAUGUGUUAUGGGCUUUUUAUUUUUAGAUAUCCAUAAUUGCAUUUUUUUUAAUAGUCUUACGAGGGGGAAAACUCACAUUUCACUCGUAUCGACGGGAAAACGGUAUUCGAAGCAACAUCGACCUUGGCUCAGGAUUAUGUUGCGCACAGUCCAGUCUGACACUAGUGGCUUUGUUAGUCUGGUUAUAAACAAACAGAAUAUUAUUUUAAUCAUUUUGUCAUAGCUUAUUACUAAUUAAAUACAAGUUGGAUUUAGCGCUGUGACACUGACAAAGGCAAGUGUAGGAUACUUUUUAAUUUGCCAGAACAUGUCAUAAGGACAAAUGCCUUCUUUCAAGUGUCAUAGUAAUCCCUUGGGUGAGAAUAAAAGGGUUAUGAGCAAUGUCCUGGAAAAUAUCUUAAAGUGGAUACUCAAAAUUGUAUUGUGCCUUCUUUUGCAGAGUGAGGACAUUGACCUCAAGAGGGAGUGUGUCCUCUGUGUGUCUCCCUCAAUGAGGACAGCAACACUCUCAUCAAGGAGUACUUGAACGUCAACAGUGAGGAAGCUGAGCGAGAGAUCGCGCAGACCACCGUGGGCCUUUACAGGAUUAUCAAAGAAGGUGCUGAUAAAGAGGACGAGCCAAAGGACGUUGGAGUGGUGAUCGAAGGUGUGGAGCUGCUAUGCAAUCUGAGAGGCGUUGCCUUUGGAUGUGCCAUGCUCUUUGGCCUAAUUUACACUCUCAACCUGAGCUAUCCCCGAGAACUCAAAUUCACUUUUGAGUUUAUCCAGAAAGUGUUGAUGAACUUGGAUGGAAAGAAGUUGUCCCCAAAGGUCCAAACACUUAAAAUCAAGAUGCUUCAAUGAGCUCACAUGGUCAGCACUGGAGAGUUGAGCUAGCCACAUUUUGGCAUGUUGGACAUUGAUAUAUUGACCUGGUAAGACUACAGAAGCUAGUGACUUACUAGUUUGUGGUACUGUUGUCAGGUUCACUGGAAAAGCUGUUAUGUGUUCUAAUUGUUGCAUUACCCAGGUUUAUCAAUACUGGUAUCCAUUGUAUUAAUGAUUAAUCCAUUUUGUAUUUUAUUAUUCAUCAUAAUCACAACUCUAAUUUUUAAGUUGUUGAUGUCAUAAUGCAUGGCUAGACUGGAUAUAUUGUAUACCUGUUUAACACUUCAUGACUAAAAUGUUGUGUUCUAAUUGUUCCAUUACCCAGGUUUACCAAUACUGGUAUCAGUUUUAUUAAUAAUUAAUCCAUUUUGUAUUACUAUUCAUCAUAAUGAUCAUAAUCACAACUCUAAUUUUUAAGUUGUUGGUGUCAUAUUGUGACUGUUUGUAUACCUGUUUAACACUUUUUUUUGGUAUUCGUCAAUAAAGCCUUCUGAAUUGUC
Long non-coding RNA from Pseudoliparis swirei, 1892 nucleotides. RefSeq lists it as uncharacterized. The transcript is spliced from 2 exons. The record is from RefSeq and is a predicted model, not a curated record. NCBI's taxonomy places the organism in Eukaryota, Metazoa, Chordata, Actinopteri, Perciformes, Liparidae.